This 2921-nucleotide ribosomal RNA is filed under the name Sulfuricurvum sp. RNAcentral's name for it is "23S ribosomal RNA". It matches the Rfam family "Bacterial large subunit ribosomal RNA". The record is from RNAcentral. Lineage: Bacteria; Pseudomonadati; Campylobacterota; Epsilonproteobacteria; Campylobacterales; Sulfurimonadaceae.
GAAAAAGAUAUUAAGGGCCAUAGGUGGAUGCCUUGGCUGGUAGAGGCGAUGAAGGACGUACUAGGCUGCGAUAAGCCUCGGGGAGCUGCCAAGAAGCUUUGAUCCGGGGAUUUCCGAAUGGGGCAACCCAGCAUAUCGAGAGGUAUGUUACCCUUCGGGGGGCGAACCUAGGGAAGUGAAACAUCUCAGUACCUAGAGGAAUAUAAAUCAAACGAGAUUCCCAAAGUAGCGGCGAGCGAAAUGGGAUUAGGACAAACCGGUUGUUUACAACCGGGGUUGCGGACUGCAUACGGCAUUGCGAGUCGAUAGAAGAAUGAGUUGGAAAGCUCGACCAUAGAGGGUGAUAGUCCCGUACUUGAAAUUGACAAACAGCUAGCAGGAUCCAGAGUAGGUCGGGACACGUGUUAUCUUGACUGAAGCCGGGGGGACCACCCUCCAAUCCUAAAUACUACUACCAGACCGAUAGCGAACUAGUACCGUAAGGGAAAGGUGAAAAGAACUGCGGUGAGCAGAGUGAAAUAGAACCUGAAACCUAUGGCUUACAAUCAUUCGGAGCCCUAUUCUUUAUGAAGGGUGACGGACUGCCUUUUGCAUAAUGAGCCUGCGAGUUGUGGUGUCUGGCAAGGUUAACCAAACGGGAAGCCGUAGCGAAAGCGAGUCUUAAUAGGGCGAAUUAGUCAGAUGCUGCAGACCCGAAACUAAGUGAUCUAUCCAUGAGCAGGUUGAAGCUGGUGUAAGAGCCAGUGGAGGACCGAACCGGUGGAUGUUGAAAAAUCCUCGGAUGACUUGUGGAUAGGGGUGAAAGGCCAAUCAAACUUAGUGAUAGCUGGUUCUCUCCGAAAUAUAUUUAGGUAUAGCCUCGAGUCGUAACAUGAAGGGGUAGAGCACUGACAGGGCUAGGGCUGCUUACCGCGGUACCAAACCCUUUCAAACUCCGAAUACUUCAUGCGUAAUCUCGGGAGUCAGGCGGUGGGUGAUAAAAUCAAUCGUCAAGAGGGGAACAACCCAGACUAACAGCUAAGGUCCCAAAGUCAUAUCUGAGUGGAAAAGGAUGUGGAGUUGCUGAGACAAUCAGGAAGUUGGCUUAGAAGCAGCCAUCCUUUAAAGAAAGCGUAACAGCUCACUGAUCUAGCGAUUCUGCGCCGAAAAUAUAACGGGGCUAAGAUAUGCACCGAAGCUUUAGAUUUGGUAUUUAUACCAAGUGGUAGGAGAGCGUUCCAAACAGCGUUGAAGGUAUACCGGUGAGGAGUGCUGGAGCGUUUGGAAGUGAGCAUGCAGGCAUGAGUAGCGAUAAAAGCAGUGAGAAUCUGCUUCGCCGUAAACCCAAGGUUUCCUACGCGAUGCUCGUCAUCGUAGGGUUAGUCGGGACCUAAGUCGAGUCCGAAAGGGGUAGACGAUGGCAAAUUGGUUAAUAUUCCAAUACCGACAAUUAUUCGUUUGAGUGAUGGGGGGACGCAUAGGGCUAAUCGAGCUCACUGAUGGAAUAGUGGGUCGAAGGACGUAGGUUGAAACAUAGGCAAAUCCGUGUUUCGUUAGACCGAGAUCUUACAGGCCGAGCAAGCUCUUCGGAGUGCGCUUGGAAUCGAUGAUGCCGUCGUGCCUAGAAAAGCCUCUAAACGAGAAUAAUUGUUGCCCGUACCGUAAACCGACACAGGUGGGUGAGAUGAGUAUUCUAAGGCGCGUGGAAGAACCCUGGUUAAGGAACUCUGCAAACUAGCACCGUAUCUUCGGUAUAAGGUGUGCCCGCAGUAGGUGAAGAGAUUUACUCUUGGAGCCGAAACGGGUCUCAGCAAAGUGUCCCUCCCGACUGUUUACCAAAAACACAGCACUCUGCUAACUCGUAAGAGGAUGUAUAGGGUGUGACGCCUGCCCGGUGCUCGAAUGUUAAAAGGAUGUGUCAGCGCAAGCGAAGCAUUGAAUUGAAGCACGAGUAAACGGCGGCCGUAACUAUAACGGUCCUAAGGUAGCGAAAUUCCUUGUCGGUUAAAUACCGACCUGCAUGAAUGGCGUAACGAGAUGGGAGCUGUCUCAACCAGGGAUCCAGUGAAAUUGUAGUGGAGGUGAAAAUUCCUCCUACCCGCGGAAAGACGGAAAGACCCCGUGCACCUUUACUAUAGCUUGACAUUGCUAUUGGGAUACUUUUGUGCAGGAUAGGUGGGAGCUGUUGAUGCUGUGACGCUAGUUACAGUGGAGGCAUCCUUGAGAUACCACCCUUGAGUAUUCUGAUAGCUAACUCGCAUGUGUUAUCCACAUGGAGGACACUGUCUGGUGGGUAGUUUGACUGGGGCGGUCGCCUCCUAAAAAGUAACGGAGGCUUACAAAGUUCGGCUCAGAAGGGUUGGAAAUCCUUCGUAGAGUAUAAUGGCAUAAGCCGGACUGACUGUGAGACAGACAAGUCGAACAGAGUCGAAAGACGGUCAUAGUGAUCCGGUGGUUCUGUGUGGAAGGGCCAUCGCUCAAAGGAUAAAAGGUACGCCGGGGAUAACAGGCUGAUCUCCCCCAAGAGCUCACAUCGACGGGGAGGUUUGGCACCUCGAUGUCGGCUCAUCGCAUCCUGGGGCUGGAGCAGGUCCCAAGGGUAUGGCUGUUCGCCAUUUAAAGCGGUACGCGAGCUGGGUUCAGAACGUCGUGAGACAGUUCGGUCCCUAUCUUCCGUGGGCGCAGGAGAGUUGAGGAGAGCUGACCCUAGUACGAGAGGACCGGGUUGGACGUACCACUGGUGUACCAGUUGUUCUGCCAAGAGCAUCGCUGGGUAGCUACGUACGGAUGUGAUAACCGCUGAAAGCAUCUAAGCGGGAAGCCAACUCCAAGAUGAACUCUCCCUGAAGUUCCCUUGAAGACUACAAGGUUAAUAGGCUAGGUGUGUAAGAGAAGUAAUUCUUUCAGCUGACUAGUACUAAUAGAACGUUCGUCUUUAUCUA